RNAcentral lists this transfer RNA (66 nucleotides) under Osmylus sp. 'Plethosmylus' HX-2020. RNAcentral describes it as "tRNA-Tyr". Lineage: Eukaryota; Metazoa; Arthropoda; Insecta; Neuroptera; Osmylidae. The record is from RNAcentral.
GGUAAAAUGACUGAUAAUAGGUGAUAAACUGUAAAUUUAUUUAUGAGAAUAAAAUCUCUUUUACCA